GAUGAACGCUAGCUACAGGCUUAACACAUGCAAGUCGAGGGGCAGCGGGAUUGAAGCUUGCUUCAAUUGCCGGCGACCGGCGCACGGGUGAGUAACGCGUAUCCAACCUUCCGCUUACUCGGGGAUAGCCUUUCGAAAGAAAGAUUAAUACCCGAUGGUAUCUUAAGCACGCAUGAGAUUAAGAUUAAAGAUUUAUCGGUAAGCGAUGGGGAUGCGUUCCAUUAGGCAGUUGGCGGGGUAACGGCCCACCAAAACCUACGAUGGAUAGCCGGUCUGAGAGGAUGAACGGCCACAAUGGAACUGAGACACGGUCCAU
This 316-nucleotide ribosomal RNA is filed under the name uncultured bacterium. RNAcentral's name for it is "bacterial SSU rRNA". It matches the Rfam family "Bacterial small subunit ribosomal RNA", at positions 28 to 334 of the family's 1533-position model. The record is from RNAcentral.